This is a long non-coding RNA of Humulus lupulus (European hop), 573 nucleotides long. RefSeq lists it as uncharacterized. Lineage: Eukaryota; Viridiplantae; Streptophyta; Magnoliopsida; Rosales; Cannabaceae. The transcript is spliced from 3 exons. The record is from RefSeq and is a predicted model, not a curated record.
UCGAAGGCGAUAUAGGAGUUCUGGUUCAUCGGCGGCGGCAGAGAGGCGACUUCUCUUUGGCUCAAUCUUUGCGGCUUCGCCUCAUCGGCUUCUUUGACUCUCAUUUUCACUCUGAACUCGACGACGCCUUCAUUUGUCCAACAUUUUACGCAUCAACCUCUUUCAUUGUAAAAGCUCAUAAAUCAUCAACCCGAAUUCUUAGCUACCUUCAAGCUCGAUACUUUUUUGCGAAGAGAAACCAUGGCUACUGCAUCUGGAUUUCGUGCCAACUGUUUUCGACAAUUUCAGUGCAAAUGUUGUUGUGAAUGGAAGCACUGUUAACUUGGGAUUAUGGGAUACAGCCGGACAGGAGGACUAUAACAGGUUAAGACCCUUGAGUUAUCGUGGGGUAGAUAUUUUUUAUACUGGCAUUCUCUCUCAUUAGCAAAGCUAGCUAUGAAAAUGUUUCCAAGAAGGUUAUGCUUUGUUUUUGUAUGGGCAGUUACAAUUUAUUAUAACAUUCAUUUGGAGUUGGUAAUCCCAUUAAUGCCCUGAUGUCUCCCAUCACAUUUUUUAUGUUUCUUCUCUAGUGGA